UAUAUGUUCAUGCUGUUCAUUUAUUUCAGAUUCAACUGGACGCUUAGGGAGGCAUCUGUCAAGUCUUCCCUUAGUUGUUUUACUGGGUUCUGGUUGGCCAAGAUUAGAAAUACAUUUUCCAGAUAUCUCACAUAUAGUGAGAAAUCCUUUUUGAGCAUUGAUAUCACAAAAAUUCUUUGUACCUUAGGACAAGUUCAGCAAUCACACCAGCCAUAGGAUUUUCUAUCGGUUCACUUCUCAUUUGUGUAAAAAAAACAAAUUUAAUUAACUUUUAAUGGUCUUAUUAUAAACAUUUUUACACUUAUGCCUUGUUUGUAGUGUUUUAUUUUUAAUGUCUCCACAUGCAUUUUUGUACUAAUAUUCACAUGAGCCA
This 373-nucleotide long non-coding RNA is filed under the name Androctonus crassicauda. The record is from RNAcentral. Lineage: Eukaryota; Metazoa; Arthropoda; Arachnida; Scorpiones; Buthidae.